GGUAUGUCUAGUGGAUACCAUUAAGGACCAAUAAUGGUAAUGGUUUUAAUGGUUAGCUGAUGGUUUGUAAUGGUAUUUGUAGUGGUGGAAACCAUUAGAAUUUCUGUGAUUUCUAUUGUUUGGAUGUUGUUUUUUCAGUAGAGAUAUUAUUGAUCAAUAGCUUAAAAUCGCAGAAUUGUCAGACAGCAUUAUGUAUAAAUGCUUGUUGUUUACAGUGUGGUUUAAUUUAUUGAUGAGUGUCAAAUAAAAGGAAAAAGUACAUCUACUCAGGACAUCCACAUAUACCUCGUACAUCCGCUCAGUACAUACUCAUAUACCAUCACAUCUCAGUAAUAAGUACUCAUAUACCCAUCACAUCGCUCAGUACGUACUCAUAUACCUACAUCCGCUCAGUACUCAGUACUCAUAUACCCAUCAGUACGUACUCAUAUACAUCGCUCAGUAUACAUACAUCCGACCAGUCACGUACUCAUAUAUACAUCCGCUCAGUACAUACUCAUAUACCACACAUCCGCUCAG
Molecule: long non-coding RNA, 519 nt
Organism: Ictalurus punctatus (channel catfish)
Lineage: Eukaryota; Metazoa; Chordata; Actinopteri; Siluriformes; Ictaluridae
Source: Ensembl